CACAUGACUCUCGGCAACGGAUAUCUCGGCUCUCGCAUCGAUGAAGAACGUAGCAAAAUGCGAUACCUGGUGUGAAUUGCAGAAUCCCGUGAACCAUCGAGUUUUUGAACGCAAGUUGCGCCCGAGACCUUCUGGUCAAGGGCACGUCUGCCUGGGCGUCACGC
This 164-nucleotide ribosomal RNA is filed under the name Muhlenbergia montana. Its description in RNAcentral is "5.8S ribosomal RNA". It matches the Rfam family "5.8S ribosomal RNA". From Rfam's summary of the family: 5.8S ribosomal RNA (5.8S rRNA) is a component of the large subunit of the eukaryotic ribosome. It is transcribed by RNA polymerase I as part of the 45S precursor that also contains 18S and 28S rRNA. RNAcentral also lists the same sequence under 5 other names. The record is from RNAcentral. Lineage: Eukaryota; Viridiplantae; Streptophyta; Magnoliopsida; Poales; Poaceae.